GCCUGGGAGAUGGCUGGAACUCUGCUGGGCCUCUGGAGCUCUUUGUCAUGGAAGCAUGAUGGAAGAGAAACAGUAGCUGCUGGGGUAAGGAGAGGGAGCAGAUUUCUCCCUUUGUCCUUCCUUCAGUCCUUCACCAUGACCUCCCAUCAAAUGGGAGACUCCCAGGCCUGUCCUCAGAAGGCCAAAAGAGCUACUGCUGUGGGUGUCUGUUCCCUUUUCCUCCCUCCUUCAUGGGUGAAAAAGGAAUCUGAAAGCAAAGACACGUGGCCAGUUGCUGGGAACACAGGCAUUUUCUGAAAUGGACCAACCCCUCAACCAGCUCCAGAAGGAUUUUAGAGAUGAUUUCAUCCAUCAGGAUGGAUAAUCCUUCAACUCUGAAAUGGGAAGAUCAUAAUGCUUUGCCAAUCUACUCUGAUCCCAGAGAAAAUGGACCGAUAAAUGAAGAUGAUUUCAAGGUUUAAAGCUGCCUCUUCUAACCCAAUCUGCUAAAAAUUAAAACUCAGCAAGGCAUAGUGAGAAGACUUUUCAACUUGUCAUUUUUAUGAAACAGAGAAACCACACGGACUCCAAAUCCUCCCCACUGCAAAUGAAAACAGGCUGCUGUGGUCAAAAGCGUUCUAGGGCAAAAGCAAAAAAGCUCUACCCUGCUUGACCUUCAGCGCUCAGUAAUUCACUGUCACCUCCCAUGAAUUUCAAGCCCUUUUAUACACACCCAAGAUGAUUAUGCUAUACACAUUAAAGGGAGAAACCCGCAGAAUAGAGUCUGGUGAAUAAUAAACAAUAAAUAACAAUGAUGAUGUGAGUGCCACAUUGUUUUGUUUGUUUUUGGUUCUUUGUCGUAUUCUGUUUUUUGUUUUUGUUUUUUUUUUAUGAAGAAUAAUGGAGAAACUUGAAGCUGGUACUUUUCUUGGCAUUCACUAUAUAUGUAUAUGUGUAUGUGUAAGUAUAUGUAUAUGUAUUUAUGACUCUAAAGCACUUUAAAAUAUGUGUAUGUGUAUGUGUAAGUAUAUGUAUAUGUAUUUAUGACUCUAAAGCACUUUUAAAUGACUUUAAAACACUUUAAAAUAAAGUGAUAAAUCCAAGUUUCUUUUUUAAGGCAUAAGUAAGGGGAAGGAGGUAGGGAAAAGAAGGAACUAACAGUAAGGUCUGGGACUGGGCGUCUGUCCGUAGUUCCUUUCAACCGAGAUCUAUAUUUUGUUUCAUUGAAAGCAGUUCUGAUCUUUCCAGUAUAAUACGCAUGCAAAGGUGGGGUGGGGGUGAGGGGGAGGAGGGAGGGAAGGAGAAUAUAAAACUAUACAGCCAUAGGCAUUGAUGGAUGCCAAGGACAGAACAUUUCCAGUAGACCUGGUCUAUAAAUUGUCAUUUAAAUUUGCAAUUUAAAAACACUGCCUGACUUUUUGAUUUAGCUGACUGUAUACGAGGCAAAUAAUGGAAUCCUAAUAAGCACUGUUUAAAUGACAUCUCCAGUCUCCCAGACACAGAGGGUGAGAGUAGAAUUCUAAGGAGAGAAAAUAAAUCUACUAAGAAUGGGAAAGAAGACCAGAACUAAAUAGUUGCAGUAAUCACUUGAUGGCAGAUAUCAGAAAAAUGUAUUUGGGGGGUGUUUAAAAUUCGAAUCCCUGAGAGGCGAAGGAUGGGUUAUCAGCCAAAAUCCCCUAAAGUCAUUGUAAGGAAACAAAAGUGAGCUCAAUUUUUACAUUCCAUCACAUUAAAAUAGAUGAACCAAAAAAAAAAAAAAUCAAGGCACCGAGACAGCAUAUUAAAGUUGAUAAGCUGAGGUUAGAAGAUUUCAACUGCGAAAAGCACUCAGUCUCACAGGCAGCCAUUGGUGAAUCUUAAUGCCAGCAUCGCACUAGAGUAGUGGGUCCAGCUAAGGGGCACCCAGCCCAAAGCUUCUUUCUUCUAUUGUAGGAAAACACAAUGUAUCCUCCCA
This is a non-coding RNA of Rattus norvegicus (Norway rat), 1933 nucleotides long. Lineage: Eukaryota; Metazoa; Chordata; Mammalia; Rodentia; Muridae. The record is from RefSeq and is a predicted model, not a curated record.